AAUCGAAACAGCCAAUGGAAUCAGGAAAAUGGAAAAGAGUGUUUCCCCAAAUUCUCACCCACCGUUUGAACUUGUCUGCAAACACACACACUUCUAGUUGGAUUACACGGAGCCGAUCAAUGUUCCUUUGAUGGAACUCUGCAUUACUCGUGGGAUUUUGCACAGACUGUGCAUUAUCCACACCAUGCAAGACAGGCUGGCCCCAUCUACUUUGCGUCGCCAAGGGAACAGGAAAUCAAACGUUCUACCUGAUUAAUGAGGCAGAUCUGCCUGGAAAGGGUGCGGACUGUGUCAUAAGCUUAUUGCACCAUUAUUCCAAGCACCAUGGUUAUGGAGAGAAGAAUGCACAGGCCUUCAUGAAUCCAUCAGCAUCAACACCAUGCUAGUAGGAACACAAAGUUUGCUCUUGACUGGCAUUUUGGUGUUUGGUUUGUCAAGUGAAGUGGAGGGCGAGUGAUGCAGAGAAAAUGCAAGACAUUGCUACAACCGUACGAUCAUCAUAACGGUCGAGUCACAACAUCCCCAUCUCGUGUCUGACAUGGAGAGUCUGGUCAAAUUCUUAGAGUGGCGGUCACACCUUGAAGCCUAGUUAAGGAACAUAAAAAGCAUAACUAAAUACCACAAUUUCUUUGUUUCCAAAGAUGACCCCGGUGUUUUGCAUUGUAAUGAGUAUGCUGACUCUACCAAGGAGUGUUUUGAUCUUUUGUAGUGUGCAAUAAAUAAGAAUGCCAUGCCUCCACUUAAGACCAUUCCAGGGCUCCCUUUAGCAAGACAGUGGUACUUGUAUGAUCACAUUUCGAAAUUGUUCAGGUCUGAGUCAGCAAAAGAGAAAACAUGUCCCAAACCUCUUAUUCCAAAGUAAUUGUUUAUUUGGAAUGUACAGUUUUGAAAAAUAGCUGACAAUUAAUACAUUAAUAAAUGUUGUAUAUAGGGAGUUGUGUGCAGUAAAGCAUUAUUACGUGUAUAUUUGCAUGUAUUGUUGAUUUGCCUGCAAUAAAUGGUUAAUUCUGUCAAUCUUGCAUUAUGAUGUCAUUAUUAUUUUAAUUAACAUGCAUUUCAAGUAUAGCCCAUGUUGUGUGAUUUUUGUUUAUAAAACAAAUAUUUAAAAACCUGGUUCAUGUUUGGAAAUAAUCAAAAAGUGAUACAUUGCAUUGUUUCUAAUUUGUUAGAUUCUUUAAUAACCAGUACAUUGUUAGAACCUCUUCUGUAUAUGAAUAAGUUAUUCAUUUGGUCCAUACUUAUAUAACUAUGUAAUUUGAUUACAUAUAUAUGGAGAUAAUAGUAUUAAUGUUAUUUUAACUGAAAUAAAGUAAUACACAUUGACUUUGCAAUAAUUUUUUUGCAUUUGUCAUGUAUCAAUGUAAGUACAGGGUACAAUUUCAACGUUACUAAUGUUGAACCAGCCUUUAUUCGAAGGCACAUGUUUAUAUUGUAUAAUGUUAAAGACAAAUGGUUACCAUGACGACCAGUUUUUUGCUUCAAAUUAUUAAAAGCUUACAGUG
Dreissena polymorpha is the source of this 1502-nucleotide long non-coding RNA. RefSeq lists it as uncharacterized. NCBI's taxonomy places the organism in Eukaryota, Metazoa, Mollusca, Bivalvia, Myida, Dreissenidae. The record is from RefSeq and is a predicted model, not a curated record. The transcript has 4 exons.